Molecule: ribosomal RNA, 301 nt
Filed under: uncultured bacterium
Lineage: Bacteria
Description: partial 16S ribosomal RNA
Rfam family: Bacterial small subunit ribosomal RNA
Source: RNAcentral
CAGUAGCCGCGGUAAUACGUAGGUGGCAAGCGUUGUCCGGAAUUAUUGGGCGUAAAGGGCUCGCAGGCGGUUUCUUAAGUCUGAUGUGAAAGCCCCCGGCUCAACCGGGGGGGGUCAUUGGAAACUGGGAAACUUGAGUGCAGAAGAGGAAAGUGGAAUUCCAUGUGUAGCGGUGAAAUGCGCAGAGAUAUGGAGGAACACCAGUGGCGAAGGCGACUCUCUGGUCUGUAACUGACGCUGAUGUGCGAAAGCGUGGGGAUCAAACAGGAUUAGAUACCCCGGUAGUCCCUGUCUCUUAUAA